AUUAAACGCUGGCGGCAUGCCUUACACAUGCAAGUCGAACGGCAGCACGGGGCAACCCUGGUGGCGAGUGGCGGACGGGUGAGUAAUGCAUCGGAACGUGCCCUGAAGUGGGGGAUAACGCAGCGAAAGCUACGCUAAUACCGCAUAUUCUGUGAGCAGGAAAGCAGGGGAUCGCAAGACCUUGCGCUUUGGGAGCGGCCGAUGUCGGAUUAGCUAGUUGGUGGGGUAAAGGCCGUACCAAGGCGACGAUCCGUAGCGGGUCUGAGAGGAUGAUCCGCCACACUGGGACUGAGACACGGCCCAGACUCUACGGAGGCAGCAUGGGGAAUUUUGGACAAUGGCGGAAGCCUGAUCCAGCCAUGCCGCGUGAGUGAAGAAGGC
RNAcentral lists this ribosomal RNA (381 nucleotides) under uncultured bacterium. RNAcentral describes it as "bacterial SSU rRNA". It matches the Rfam family "Bacterial small subunit ribosomal RNA", at positions 29 to 415 of the family's 1533-position model. The record is from RNAcentral.